RNAcentral lists this small nuclear RNA (21 nucleotides) under Arabidopsis thaliana (thale cress). RNAcentral describes it as "snRNA_08658". Lineage: Eukaryota; Viridiplantae; Streptophyta; Magnoliopsida; Brassicales; Brassicaceae. The record is from RNAcentral.
GGGUCCCAGUUCCGAACCCGU